AUCGCUUCUCAGCCUUUUGGCUAAGAUCAAGUGUAGUAUCUGUUCACGUCAGCUUAAUUGGAACCACAUCAUUUAUUUCUCCAAUAUUGGUGAAGUGCAUAGCAAUUCACCCGUACUCUCU
RNAcentral lists this small nuclear RNA (121 nucleotides) under Suricata suricatta (meerkat). RNAcentral's name for it is "U2 spliceosomal RNA (ENSSSUG00005004163.1)". It matches the Rfam family "U2 spliceosomal RNA". Rfam says of the family: U2 is a small nuclear RNA (snRNA) component of the spliceosome (involved in pre-mRNA splicing). Complementary binding between U2 snRNA (in an area lying towards the 5' end but 3' to hairpin I) and the branchpoint sequence (BPS) of the intron results the bulging out of an unpaired adenosine, on the BPS, which initiates a nucleophilic attack at the intronic 5' splice site, thus starting the first of two transesterification reactions that mediate splicing. Lineage: Eukaryota; Metazoa; Chordata; Mammalia; Carnivora; Herpestidae. The record is from Rfam by way of RNAcentral.